Molecule: ribosomal RNA, 244 nt
Filed under: uncultured bacterium
Lineage: Bacteria
Description: partial 16S ribosomal RNA
Rfam family: Bacterial small subunit ribosomal RNA
Source: RNAcentral
UAACGCGUGAGGAACCUGCCUUCCAGAGGGGGACAACAGUUGGAAACGACUGCCUAAUACCGCAUGACACAUUUGAAUCGCAUGGUUUGAAUGUCAAAGAUUUAUCGCUGGAAGAUGGCCUCGCGUCUGAUUAGCUAGUUGGUAGGGUAACGGCCUACCAAGGCGACGAUCAGUAGCCGGACUGAGAGGUUGACCGGCCACAUUGGGACUGAGAUACGGCCCAGACUCCUACGGAAGGCAGCAG